UCGGGAAACCAGCCUCCCGAAUCCUCACGGAUAGAUGGUGUCCCAUCCAAGUGCUGA
Molecule: non-coding RNA, 57 nt
Organism: Acidovorax sp. CF316
Lineage: Bacteria; Pseudomonadati; Pseudomonadota; Betaproteobacteria; Burkholderiales; Comamonadaceae
Source: Rfam